RNAcentral lists this ribosomal RNA (120 nucleotides) under uncultured bacterium. RNAcentral describes it as "partial 16S ribosomal RNA". It matches the Rfam family "Bacterial small subunit ribosomal RNA", at positions 796 to 914 of the family's 1533-position model. The record is from RNAcentral.
CUAGCCGUAAACGAUGGAUACUAGGUGUUAGAGGUAUCGACCCCUCUAGUGCCGGAGCUAACGCAUUAAGUAUCCCGCCUGGGGAGUACGACCGCAAGGUUGAAACUCAAAGGAAUUGAC